UCAUUUGUUUUAUUACAGUUG
This 21-nucleotide non-coding RNA is filed under the name Caenorhabditis elegans. The record is from RNAcentral. Lineage: Eukaryota; Metazoa; Nematoda; Chromadorea; Rhabditida; Rhabditidae.